This 170-nucleotide unclassified non-coding RNA is filed under the name uncultured Hypoxylon. RNAcentral describes it as "sequence contains ITS1". Lineage: Eukaryota; Fungi; Ascomycota; Sordariomycetes; Xylariales; Xylariaceae. The record is from RNAcentral.
CUGAGUUAUCCAAAACUCCCAACCCUUUGUGAACUUACCACUGUUGCCUCGGCGAGUUGUGCUACCCUAUAGCUACCCUGUAGCUACCCGGGAACACAUUCCAAGCUCGCCAGAGGACCUACCAACUCUGUUUUAUACUGUAUCUCUGAACUUUAUAACUAAAUAAGUUA